This 465-nucleotide ribosomal RNA is filed under the name uncultured bacterium. RNAcentral's name for it is "partial 16S ribosomal RNA". It matches the Rfam family "Bacterial small subunit ribosomal RNA", at positions 28 to 507 of the family's 1533-position model. The record is from RNAcentral.
GACGAACGCUGGCGGCGUGCUUAACACAUGCAAGUCGAACGGAAAGGCCCCUUUGGGGGUACUCGAGUGGCGAACGGGUGAGUAACACGUGAGUAACCUGCCCUUGACUUCGGGAUAACUUCAGGAAACUGGAGCUAAUACCGGAUAGGAAUCCUUGCUGCAUGGUGGGGGUUGGAAAGCUUCGGCGGGUUUGGAUGUACUCGCGGCUUAUCAGCUUGUUGGUGGGGUAGUGGCUUACCAAGGCUUUGACGGGUAGCCGGCCUGAGAGGGCGACCGGCCACAUUGAGACUGAGAUACGGCCCAGACUCCUACGGGAGGCAGCAGUGGGGAAUAUUGCACAAUGGGCGGAAGCCUGAUGCAGCAACGCCGCGUGCGGGAUGACGGCCUUCGGGUUGUAAACCGCUUUCAGCAGGGGCGAAGCUUGUGGUGACGGUACCUGCAGAAGAAGCACCGGCUAACUACGUG